This 468-nucleotide long non-coding RNA is filed under the name Urocitellus parryii (Arctic ground squirrel). RNAcentral describes it as "lncRNA (ENSUPAG00010014814.1)". Lineage: Eukaryota; Metazoa; Chordata; Mammalia; Rodentia; Sciuridae. The record is from RNAcentral.
CUGGUCUAACACACUCCCCACAUGUGGGUGCCCCACGGGCUUCCUCGGGUAUCUGAGGUCAUCGCGUGACCCUGGGUCUCCAGAGAUUGGUCGGGGCUGGGACUGGCGAAGAUUGCCGAAAGGCGGCGGGGAGGAGGAGGAGGAUGUCUUCGCUAGAGUGAGCAAGCAGAUCUCGCGGAAGCAAAUCUCGCGAGAGCUCUCAAAUCCGCAACCGCCAAAGAAAGGUUACUUUUCCCGGAAAUAACGUCAAUGGGAACCGCCCCGGAUCCUGGGAAUAUUUGUUCUCAGAGGAUCUCACUUUAAUGCUUAGAGACGCACUGAGUUGCUGAGGCUGGCCUUGAACUUGCAAUCCUUCUGCCUCAGGCCCCCCAGUUCCUGGAAUUACAAGCAUGUGCCACCAUGCCCAACUUCUGGAUGGACUUUUUUUUAAAGAAAAAUUUAAUAAAACUAUGCUGUUGUAUAUAUACA